UAUCCCCCAAACUAAGGGGGGAUGAGAACCACCGACCGGGGUUCGACAACUGGCGCAGCCAGUUGGACAGACGACGAGCUUGCGAGGAGACUGCCCGAAGGGCGAGCGCAGCGAGUCAAUCCCCCCCUCACAGCCA
This 136-nucleotide small RNA is filed under the name Salmonella enterica. Its description in RNAcentral is "RtT sRNA". It matches the Rfam family "RtT RNA". Rfam says of the family: This family represents a bacterial cis-regulatory element known as RtT RNA. The exact function of RtT is unknown although it is thought that it may be involved in changing the cellular response in relation to amino acid starvation. RNAcentral also lists the same sequence under 2 other names. Lineage: Bacteria; Pseudomonadati; Pseudomonadota; Gammaproteobacteria; Enterobacterales; Enterobacteriaceae. The record is from RNAcentral.